GAAGUUCCGCCGGUUCCGCUUCCGGUCGUGGAGAUGGAAGAUCACGAGGUGCUGAAGAGUCAGCGCCACUGCAUUCUUAUCUCCAACCGUUUGGUAAAGAAGAGGAGAGCAGAUCUCUGUUACUUUAUUGAGGGAAGAAGAACAGACACGUUUUUUUGGUUUUUUUGUUAACAGUAGUCUAAAAUGAAAAAGAAAUAUUGUUUAUACAGAACCGCAUGUAUGCACUUGCUUGUCUUCUCCAAAUAAAGUGAGGAAGCUGAUCUCUA
This is a non-coding RNA of Pantherophis guttatus, 266 nucleotides long. Lineage: Eukaryota; Metazoa; Chordata; Lepidosauria; Squamata; Colubridae. The record is from RefSeq and is a predicted model, not a curated record.